GGCGGUAUAGCCAAGAGGUAAGGCGAAGGUCUGCAAAACCUUGAACCUCGGUUCGAUUCCGAGUACCGCCUCCA
RNAcentral lists this transfer RNA (74 nucleotides) under Salimicrobium jeotgali. RNAcentral's name for it is "tRNA-Cys". It matches the Rfam family "tRNA". From Rfam's summary of the family: Transfer RNA (tRNA) molecules are approximately 80 nucleotides in length. Their secondary structure includes four short double-helical elements and three loops (D, anti-codon, and T loops). Further hydrogen bonds mediate the characteristic L-shaped molecular structure. tRNAs have two regions of fundamental functional importance: the anti-codon, which is responsible for specific mRNA codon recognition, and the 3' end, to which the tRNAs corresponding amino acid is attached (by aminoacyl-tRNA synthetases). tRNAs cope with the degeneracy of the genetic code in two manners: having more than one tRNA (with a specific anti-codon) for a particular amino acid; and 'wobble' base-pairing, i.e. permitting non-standard base-pairing at the 3rd anti-codon position. The record is from RNAcentral. Lineage: Bacteria; Bacillati; Bacillota; Bacilli; Caryophanales; Bacillaceae.